AGGACGAACGCUGGCGGCGUGCUUAACACAUGCAAGUCGAGCGGUAAGGCCUUUCGGGGUACACGAGCGGCGAACGGGUGAGUAACACGUGGGUGAUCUGCCCUGCACUCUGGGAUAAGCCUGGGAAACUGGGUCUAAUACCGGAUAUGACCUGCUCUCGCAUGGGGGUGGGUGGAAAGAUUUAUCGGUGCAGGAUGGGCCCGCGGCCUAUCAGCUUGUUGGUGGGGUAAUGGCCUACCAAGGCGACGACGGGUAGCCGACCUGAGAGGGUGACCGGCCACACGUGGGACUGAGACACGGCCCAGACUCCUACGGGAGCAGCAGUGGGAAUAUGCACAAUGGGACGAAAGCCUGAUGCAGCGACGCCGCGUGAGGAUGGAAGGCCGUUACGGGUUGUUAAACCCUCUUUCAGCGAGGGACGAAGCGACAAGUGACGGUACCUGACAGAAGAAGCGAACCGGACUAACUACAGUCGACCAGACGACGCCGGACGGUUAACUCGUAGGACGGCCGGUCGUA
RNAcentral lists this ribosomal RNA (519 nucleotides) under uncultured soil bacterium. RNAcentral describes it as "bacterial SSU rRNA". The stretch from base 9 to 455 matches the Rfam family "Bacterial small subunit ribosomal RNA", at positions 34 to 540 of the family's 1533-position model. The record is from RNAcentral.